Long non-coding RNA from Callithrix jacchus (white-tufted-ear marmoset), 5567 nucleotides. RefSeq lists it as uncharacterized. The record is from RefSeq and is a predicted model, not a curated record. Lineage: Eukaryota; Metazoa; Chordata; Mammalia; Primates; Cebidae.
GUUCUGCCUGACGCAGCACAGCUGUGAACCCCUCUCCCUCUUUCAGCCACCCUUGCGUUUUUAAGUCAAAAAGGAUUAGGCUCAUCAGACCAACACCGUAGAAGGAAAUUAUAAUGAAGCUUGUACAGUGCAUUAAAGAUCAACAUGGCACGACGGUUACGAGCCAGACUUGGUGGUUGCAUUGACCUACAUUUCAGGUCCAGCUCCAUCAAUUACUAAAUCUGCCAGCUGACCGUGAGUCUCUUAGGUAAAUCGCUCUCUGCAUCGGCUUUCUCCGCUGGAAAAUGGGGAUAAGAAGAACAUGUAUGGAAAUGGAUCUGUAUCUGCCAGAUUCCAAGGCCUGUCUUAGAAGACCGCAGAACCGAGGCCUGAGGAGGCACCAACCAUGAAAGGAGAAACAAUAGGCAUCUCUCAGGCAUCCCUCAGCGAUUCCAGUGCUUUCUCCAUCGUGAAGCAUUGUUACAGAGACGACAGCUCCAUGGCUCCAGGACCCCUUUGAAAGACUGACCGGAUGCUCCUUCUUCCAUGAAGUGGUUGUUCCCUUCUUCCUCUGUGCCCCCCCACUUCCUUGCACAAGGUAAAAAUGUGGAAACCUCUGUAUUUGAAUUCUGUCGCAAGUCUCAGUUCAGAUGCUCCUCCACUUACCGUGGGACUUUGAGAUGGUUUGAUAGUUUGUCCUCUCCAAACCUCAUGCUGAAAUGUGAUUCCCAACGUUGGAGGUGGGCCCUGGUGAGAGAUGUUUGUGUCAUGCAGGUGGAUCCUCAUGGAACCAUCUUCUUGCCAAUGAGUAAGUUCUCCCCGUGUUUGUUAAUGUGAGAGCUGAUUGUGAAAAAGAGCCUGGCACCUCCUUCUCCUUCUCUGGCUCCCUCUCUCAUGAUGUAAUAUGCUGGCUCCCCAUUUACCUUCUGCCAUGAUUGGAAGCUUCCUGAGGCUUCACCAGGAGUAGAUGCUGGUGCCGUGCUUCCUGUGCAGCCUGCAGAACCUUGAGCCAAAACAAACCACUUUUCUGUAUAAAUUGCCCAGUGUCAGGUAUUACUUUAUAUUAAUGUAAAUGGAAAAACACAGGCUAUGUCCCAAUAAACCCAUCUGAAGUUGAAAAUAUCAUCACUUGAAAAUGCACUUAAUACGCCUAACCUAUCAAGUAUCGUAGCUUAAGCUGACUUUCCUUAGAUGUGCUUGGAACAUUUACAUGAGCCUACAGUUGGGCAAAAUCAUCCAACACAAAGCCUAAUUUUUACAUUAAAGUAUUGACUAUCUCAUAUUAUUUAUUAAACACUGUAGCGAAACUGAAACCAAAAUGGUCACCUGGGUACUCACCAUUAACACACGCAGCUGAAAGCACACUGGGCCUGAAAAACGUUUGAAACAGAACUAAAACGCAGGCUGAUGGGAUGCUGCAGCCACAGUGCUGUCAAUCGCUCUCUGCUGAUGAGGCUUGAGAAUGGCUGGGGAGGCACUGGCGUAGCCACACGGGACGGGUUGGCAGGCAUGAUAUUCUUUAAGAAGGUGUCAAGUACCAGUACUUUACCCUCAUGAUUCGGUGGCUGACUGGGAGCUGAAGCUCAGCACUGAGAGAGAGCACAGUGCUACAGCUACAUACCGCUACCCUGGGGAAAGACCAAAAUUCGAAAUCUGAAAUAGGCUUUCUACUAAAUACUUACCUUUUUCACAGCAUCAUAAAAUCAAGCAAUCUAGGUUGAACCACUGCUGCAGAUUUCAGUGUGCACAGGAGUCCUGGAACCAAUUCUCCACUAAUACUGAGGGAAGACUGUAUCUGUUCGGUGGGUAAAUAGUAUUCAACUGAAUUAUUUUCUUCUUGCUUUGCAGAAUGACAAAUACAAUGGAAUGUGUUAUUUGUGCCGUCUGUAGUGGGCACACUUACAUUUUGUGCUAUUAUGCACAACAUACAUUUUUAUGCAUCAGCUAGAGAAUCAAGUUUAAUAAUUUUAAAAAGACUACAAUCAAUGCUGACUUCCACUCAUCUUUUAAAUUUCAGCUUACAAUGUCACUUUUUCAGGAAAACCCCCCUAACCCAAGGUUAGGUUAUGUGGCUUAAUUGCAGUCCUACAAAACCCCGUCUUUGUCCUUUGUGCAUAAUUAAAUUUUUAAUUAAAUAUUUCAAGUCUUUACUUGUCUAAUGCCUAGCUCUAUUCUAGAUAGUAAGCUCCACGAAUGCAGGGUCUCACUCACCAGUGCUUAGCAGAGGGCAAAGUCUUUGCAGGUCAUUUUUAAGCCUUCGUUGAAUGGACAUAGGCAUUCAUGAAUGAAUGGAUGGAUGAGUGAAUGGUAACAACAGAUCUGUAGUAGAAUUUCCGGAAUCACCCUUGGAUAAUUAUUUGGGGAGCAUAACUGCUACAGUUUGAAUGUGUGUCCCUCCGAAAUGCAUGUUAAAACUUAAUGCCUGAUGUAACGGUAUUAAGAGGUAGGGCCUUCAAGAGGUGGUUAAUGAUGAAUCUAUUCAUGGAUUAAUGGGUUAGUUGUUACCAGAGAGUCUGUUAGAGAAGCCAGUUUGGGUCCCUCUCCUGCACACGCUAUUGCCCUGUUAUGGGCAAUGUUGUUGCCUUCCACCAUGUUAUGAUGCAGCCUGAAGCCCUCACUAGAAUGUGCUGCCUGACCUUGGAAUUCCCAGCCUUUAGAACUGAAAGAAAUUAAUGUAUUUUCUUUGUAAAUUACCCAGUCUGUGCAACAGAAAUGAACUAAUACAAUAACUGAUUAUCUUCGCAGAGAGAUGCAAGCAUUCUCGAUCUUUAAACUCCUCUAGUUUUCAGAGUUCCUAAUUAGGAUGAAGAAUUUUGAACUCCUAGCUCAAUUAAUUAAACAGUUCCACAUACGCUUUUCUCUCCUCCCAGAGAAGGAUUAUAGAGUAACACACAGGUGGUGCCUGAGGAAUUCUCUUCUAGUAUCACAUUCCCCAAACCAUAUCCUUCCCACUAAGCCAGCUAAAGUCUUCUAGAAUCUAACAUAUUUUUGCAAGUGCUUCAAGCCUCCCGAGAAUUGACUUAUUGACUUAAUUGGCUCCAUUGACUUAGAAUGACAAACUCAGAAGUCUCACGUCAAUCAGAUUCUAACUGAGUCCCAGGAAGCCUAGGUUCCUGUUCUUCAGAAUACAAAUGAUAAUGACAGCAAUAACACUGCUCUCUCGGGCAUUGGUAAACACUGCUUUUCAUAUUCCAGGUACUGUCUAUUUCUCUCUCCUCUCUCUCUCUCUCUCUCUCUGUGUGUGUGUGUGUGUGUGUGUGUGUGUGAGAGAGAGAGAGAGAGAGAGAGAGAGAGGUCACAUGGUAACAAAUGUCAUGGAGAUAAAUGAGGGUGGCCAGGGAGGUUGUACUGAUAAGUGAAACAGAGAUAGAGACUUGAAGGACCUGGAAGAAGGAACCAUGGAGAUACCCAACUAAAAGAAUUAUGUAAACAGGCCAAGCUGGUCUCCUUGAAACAGCAAUAGGGGGAAUAGGAUGGCUGCCCCCAGAUAGUGCUGGGGGUAUCCCGCUAAAUUCUGCCUUAUCUCCCAAAAGACCAAAUUAAUUCUGCUUCUUCAUCUUUUAGGUUCAUACCCUAGGGGCUGUGGAGAGAGCCCAUCUCCCUGGCUCUAGGGAGGGGAAGGGCAGUGCAGAGCUGUACCUUUGCUGCACAUUGGAAUGUCCUACAAGUAAAACUGUGAUGCUCAGGUUGCACACCCCCCGCCCCAUACUAAUUAAAGCAGAACCUCUGAGGGUGAGACCUAGAAAUCAGUUUUCAAAACCUCUCCAGGAGAAUCCAAAGUCAAGUGGACAUGCUGGAGCCAACAUACACCAGCUCCCAGGGUAGACAAUGUGUACUCUUCCAGGGAUAGAAUAAGGAUACAUCUGGCCUUUAACCUAGUUCCUGAUACAUAGCUUCAAAAACCCUUGGAAUUUCCCGAGUGACAGCCAUGUCUUUUGUUAUUCGUAAUAAGCCCCUUUAGACCAUACCUGGGUUUAUACUAAUAAGGUGACUCCCGACAGUCUCUUAGUUGAGGGGCAAGGAGGCAGAAGGGGGGUAAGAGAGGUAUGGGAGGCAAACCAGAAAGACCUCAAAUGUGACUGGAGAGUUAGAAUUUUCAGCCACAUGCAUGGCCUCUAGUGAGGGGAGAGGAACUGGAAAUUGCAUUAAGUCAAAUGGCCAACGAUAUAAUCAAUCAUGCCUAUGUAAUGACAUCACAUAUAAAAACUCUGGAUACCAAAGUUCAGGGGGACUUUCUGACUGGUGAACGUUAGAUAUAUAGGAAGGGCAGCUCACUUUGCAUGGGAACAGAAGCCCCUGUGCUGGGGUCUUCCUUGACUUUGGGCCAUGUACCCGUGUAUCUGGCUGUUCAUUUGUGUUCUUUAUAGUAAAACAGCAGUCAUCAGUAUAGCAUUUUCCUCAGUUCUAGAAGUCAUCCGCAUAAAUUAUCAAACCUGAGAAGGAAUACAAAGUUUCAAAUUUGUAGUCAGCUGAGCAGAAGUGCAGGUGACUUGGGGAUGUCUGAAAUGUACGUCUGCCUUCUGAAGUGGGGUCAGCCUCUUGAAGAACUUUGCCCUUAACUUAUAGGGUCUGCAUGAACUCCAGGAAAUCAUUGUCAGAACUGAAUCAAAUUUCAAGACACUCAAUCAGUGCUAGAGAAUUGGCUUUGGAAUGUUUUCCAUCUCUGUAUUCAGUAAUCUCAUGGUGGCAGCUUGAAAUCAGCCAGGGGGAGAACAUUUACACCAUGGAAAUUGGCAAAUGCUACAAAUCGAGGCUUCUUGUCCCUCUGCCCCUGAGAACUGGUUAUGAAACAUUUAUCAGCACACUGCUAUUUUAGAACCAGUGGCCUAUGUCAUUAGGUGCUGAUUAGGAAAGACUAGAAAGAUCUCAGGAGGGACAGAGUCUGAACCCACUGAGAACUCUUCCCAUUGCACACCUAUGCAGAGCAGGCUGAGCCCAUUCUGUGAAUGAGGGGAACUCCUUCCUUUCUGAAAUCCCUCCAUUCAUUUCCACUUCCACAUAAGCCAUGUCCAACCUAUGUACUGCACUAACCUGUCAAUAGGUAAAAUUCUUCUUAAGGAAGAAGACAACCUGGACACUUAACAAAUCGGGGGAAGCCAUGCUUCCUUCUUUAUGUUAAUUCCUUGUGUUCAUUUUUCAUGUGCCUCUCUUAUUCCUUUUGAAUUGUUUAAUUUAUUGCAGAUUUUUAGUAAUAGAUAGGUCCUUUUCACACAUUAGCCUCAGGUUGAUUCAAAUCCCUUUCUGAGAACUCACAAGAGAAGUUCCCUUUUCUCAGUCUUCAGGAAAUUCACUUAAAUGUUAUGAGUUUUCUGAGAUAAUUAAUCCACCAGUACAAUUCCCACCUGAAACUCCCUCCUUCCCCUCUAUUCACUCUUCAACUUUUGUUCUAAUUUGCUUAAUGUUUCUGCCUUCCUGACCCAUAAUUCAUGUAAGAGCGUAAACACACGCAUUAUCCCAGGAAACCACUGUGUGGGAAUUCACUGACCCCUUCAAAUCCAUUUUUUCACUCUUCAUUUUAAAAUUGAGGUUCAGCUAUUCCCCUGCUCUUAGAAUUUAGGAUUUAGUUGCAUACUUAGGGGAUAUAGUUG